GGUUAUGGCUCAGUGGUAGAACACUUGCCUCAAAUGCAUGAGGUACUGGGUUCGAUUCUCAGCACCA
RNAcentral lists this transfer RNA (67 nucleotides) under Marmota marmota marmota (Alpine marmot). It matches the Rfam family "tRNA". From Rfam's summary of the family: Transfer RNA (tRNA) molecules are approximately 80 nucleotides in length. Their secondary structure includes four short double-helical elements and three loops (D, anti-codon, and T loops). RNAcentral also lists the same sequence under 1 other name. The record is from Rfam by way of RNAcentral. Lineage: Eukaryota; Metazoa; Chordata; Mammalia; Rodentia; Sciuridae.